ACUACUGUCACUAGCACUCCAUGUAACCUGUCGGACACUACUGUCACCAGCAUGUAGGUGACAAGUAUGACUCUCUGUUUGGGAAUCACCUAAAGAGUCGUGAAGGCUUUCUUUAUCUCAGCUAACUAGUACUCGGCCUCUUUAAAGGAGGAUCCCCCUGUAAAAGUAGAUGGGUUUAGUCUUUUAUACCUCUCAAUGUAUACUAGGUCCAUUAUGGGAGGAACUUGGUCCCGUGGAAGAAGGACUGGAUUGUGCUGGGGAUGGACCGGAUGGCCCUAUGGUGGUACUGGAUGAUAUGGUGAAGGUACCGGGCUAUACUGUGGUGGUGCCAGAUGAUGCGGUUGGGGCACUGGGCUAUAGGGUUUACAUUCCUUACACAAUAAUUUUGAAUAUCCAAUAGUACUACGG
This 408-nucleotide long non-coding RNA is filed under the name Carica papaya (papaya). RNAcentral describes it as "long non-coding RNA (CPAP_LNC001048)". Lineage: Eukaryota; Viridiplantae; Streptophyta; Magnoliopsida; Brassicales; Caricaceae. The record is from RNAcentral.